Molecule: long non-coding RNA, 533 nt
Organism: Canis lupus familiaris (dog)
Lineage: Eukaryota; Metazoa; Chordata; Mammalia; Carnivora; Canidae
Exons: 3
Source: RefSeq, a predicted model, not a curated record
GGGAGAGAUAACAGCUCAGGGCAAUCAGCCAGAAGUGCUCUCAGCAGCUGGGACAAUAAGUUCUGAUGGGGAAUCUGGUGUUGCAUCAUAAUGUCCAUUACAGGCAUCAGAUCAGAUAAUUCUGGAGGCUAAGUCUCAAGACCCAGGAAGCUACAGUCUCAAGACCCAAGAAGAGCUAAUAUUUCAGUUCAAAUACAAAGGCAGCAAAGACUGAUGUCCAGCUCAAACCUCUGACUAGGCAAGAGGGAGUCCCUGUUACUCAUAGAAAGACACAGGAUAAAAUUGCAUUUCUCUGCUUGUUUGAAGUUAAAUUGGUCAUGGACAUGCCUUGGCCCAUGAAAAGCAUGUCCCUUGCGGGCAGGAGCUGCAAGAACCAGCGUGCGCCUUCUCCGUUCUUUUUCCUCUGCCUCAGUGACUGACAACAAGAAUAACUGCUCUAUCACUCUGGGUCCUCAGUGAGGACAUCACCAAUAAACUUUGACCUUUCUUGGCUUGUUUUGAAAGCAGUUGAAAUUUGAGGAAGGGGGCGUUGU